GGCUCGGUAGUGGAGGGUCCACAUCUGCCUUCCAUUCAAAGUCAUUAGCUUGAUGCAGACAAAGCCUGUUUGACUCAGGCCCGAGCCA
Mycena leptocephala is the source of this 88-nucleotide non-coding RNA. Lineage: Eukaryota; Fungi; Basidiomycota; Agaricomycetes; Agaricales; Mycenaceae. The record is from the annotation of a GenBank genome assembly.